UGCUAAGUGAUAUCUGUCAUACAGCACAGGUUCAUUGAGGCACUAGUAAACUCUUCUGCAUAUGCAUUCACAUACGGUUAGUGAAAAUGCUUGGUCAAUCGAGUUCCACAUUGAACUGCCAAGUCCAAACUGUUCCUUGCUUCAUGGAAGUUUUUCAUGUACCUUUGCCAACUGUUAGAGAUGUCAGAUGUGUGGCCUUGUAAGAAUGUUGUUUUAAUAGCAUUUGCUAUUUGAUCAUUUUGGACAAUCUUUUGGAUCUGUUUGUUUCUGUGUAUGCUUA
This 280-nucleotide unclassified non-coding RNA is filed under the name Hevea brasiliensis (rubber tree). Lineage: Eukaryota; Viridiplantae; Streptophyta; Magnoliopsida; Malpighiales; Euphorbiaceae. The record is from RNAcentral.